AACUUUUGGCAACGGAUUUCUUGGCUCUGGCAUCGAUGAAGAACGCAGCGAAAUGCGAUAAGUAAUGUGAAUUGCAGAAUUCAGUGAAUCAUCGAAUCUUUGAACGCACAUUGCGCCCGUUAGCAUUCUAGCGGGCAUGCCUGUCCGAGCGUCAUUUCAACCCUCAGGGUCCCCGUUUCGGCGGGGAACCUGGUGUUGGGGAUCGGCCCGCCCCGCGCGGCGCCGUCCCCCAAAUCUAGUGGCGGUCUCGCUGCAGCCUCCCCUGCGUAGUAGUUUACAACCUCGCACCGGAGCGCGGCGCGGCCACGCCGUAAAACCCCCGACUUUCUGAACGUUGACCUCGGAUCAGGUAGGAAUACCCGCUGAACUUAAGCAUAUCAAUAAGCGGAGGCU
Molecule: unclassified non-coding RNA, 393 nt
Filed under: uncultured Stachybotrys
Lineage: Eukaryota; Fungi; Ascomycota
Description: sequence contains ITS2
Rfam family: 5.8S ribosomal RNA (bases 1-154)
Source: RNAcentral